This 74-nucleotide transfer RNA is filed under the name Streptomyces coelicolor. Its description in RNAcentral is "tRNA Gly anticodon TCC, Cove score 78.23". It matches the Rfam family "tRNA". From Rfam's summary of the family: Transfer RNA (tRNA) molecules are approximately 80 nucleotides in length. Lineage: Bacteria; Bacillati; Actinomycetota; Actinomycetes; Kitasatosporales; Streptomycetaceae. RNAcentral also lists the same sequence under 4 other names. The record is from RNAcentral.
GCGGGCGUAGCUCAAUGGUAGAGCACCAGUCUUCCAAACUGGCUACGCGGGUUCGAUUCCCGUCGCCCGCUCCG